RNAcentral lists this transfer RNA (89 nucleotides) under Deltaproteobacteria bacterium GWA2_50_8. RNAcentral describes it as "tRNA-Leu". It matches the Rfam family "tRNA". Rfam says of the family: Transfer RNA (tRNA) molecules are approximately 80 nucleotides in length. Their secondary structure includes four short double-helical elements and three loops (D, anti-codon, and T loops). Further hydrogen bonds mediate the characteristic L-shaped molecular structure. tRNAs have two regions of fundamental functional importance: the anti-codon, which is responsible for specific mRNA codon recognition, and the 3' end, to which the tRNAs corresponding amino acid is attached (by aminoacyl-tRNA synthetases). tRNAs cope with the degeneracy of the genetic code in two manners: having more than one tRNA (with a specific anti-codon) for a particular amino acid; and 'wobble' base-pairing, i.e. permitting non-standard base-pairing at the 3rd anti-codon position. RNAcentral also lists the same sequence under 3 other names. The record is from RNAcentral. Lineage: Bacteria; Deltaproteobacteria.
GCCCGGGUGGUGGAAUUGGUAGACACAAGGGACUUAAAAUCCCUCGGGGACUAAACCUUCCCAUGCCGGUUCGAUUCCGGCCCCGGGCA